GGUUGACCUCGGAUCAGGUAGGGAUACCCGCUGAACUUAAGCAUAUCAAUAAGCGGAGGAAAAGAAACCAACAGGGAUUGCCCUAGUAACGGCGAGUGAAGCGGCAAGAGCUCAAAUUUGAAAGCUGGCCCCCUCGGGGCCCGCAUUGUAAUUUGCAGAGGAUGCUUCGGGCGUGGCCCCUGUCUAAGUGCCCUGGAACGGGCCGUCAGAGAGGGUGAGAAUCCCGUAUGGGAUGGGGUGCCCACGCCCGUGUGAAGCUCCUUCGACGAGUCGAGUUGUUUGGGAAUGCAGCUCUAAAUGGGUGGUAAAUUUCAUCUAAAGCUAAAUAUUGGCCGGAGACCGAUAGCGCACAAGUAGAGUGAUCGAAAGAUGAAAAGCACUUUGAAAAGAGAGUUAAAAAGCACGUGAAAUUGUUGAAAGGGAAGCGCUUGCGACCAGACUCGCCCCAGGGGUUCAGCCGGCUUUCGGGCCGGUGUACUUCCCCCGGGGCGGGCCAGCGUCGGUUUUGGCGGCCGGUCAAAGGCCCCUGGAAUGUAACGCCUCUCGGGGCGUCUUAUAGCCAGGGGUGCCAUGCGGCCCGCCGGGACCGAGGAACGCGCUUCGGCUCGGACGCUGGCAUAAUGGUCGUAAGCGACC
RNAcentral lists this ribosomal RNA (636 nucleotides) under Penicillium charlesii. RNAcentral describes it as "eukaryotic LSU rRNA". It matches the Rfam family "Eukaryotic large subunit ribosomal RNA", at positions 1 to 649 of the family's 3401-position model. The record is from RNAcentral. Lineage: Eukaryota; Fungi; Ascomycota; Eurotiomycetes; Eurotiales; Aspergillaceae.